CGACACUUUCCACGGUCGGAGCUGAUCCGGAUCACAUACACAGGAGUCACUCAUUGAAGAUGAAUCACAUGGUUAGGCUGGACAGGGAUCUUCGAAUAAUUGAGAGACACCAUGGUGUAAAACGAAGGUGGCUCCUUC
Gambusia affinis (western mosquitofish) is the source of this 138-nucleotide long non-coding RNA. RefSeq lists it as uncharacterized. The record is from RefSeq and is a predicted model, not a curated record. The transcript is spliced from 3 exons. NCBI's taxonomy places the organism in Eukaryota, Metazoa, Chordata, Actinopteri, Cyprinodontiformes, Poeciliidae.